Molecule: ribosomal RNA, 859 nt
Filed under: uncultured bacterium
Lineage: Bacteria
Description: bacterial SSU rRNA
Rfam family: Bacterial small subunit ribosomal RNA
Source: RNAcentral
CUCAGGACGAACGCUGGCGGCGUGCUUAACACAUGCAAGUCGAGCGGAAAGGCCCUUCGGGGUACUCGAGCGGCGAACGGGUGAGUAACACGUGAGUAACCUGCCCCUAGUUCUGUGAUAGCUCCGGGAAACCGGAAUUAAUACCGGAUACGACCACGGACGACAUCGGCCGUGGUGGAAAGAUUUAUCGACUAGGGAUGGGCUCGCGGCCUAUCAGCUUGUUGGUGGGGUAACGGCCUACCAAGGCGACGACGGGUAGCCGGCCUGAGAGGGCGACCGGCCACACUGGGACUGAGACACGGCCCAGACUCCUACGGGAGGCAGCAGUGGGGAAUAUUGCGCAAUGGGCGAAAGCCUGACGCAGCGACGCCGCGUGGGGGAUGAAGGCCUUCGGGUUGUAAACCCCUUUCGGCAGGGACGAAGCGAAAGUGACGGUACCUGCAAAAGAAGCGCCGGCUAACUACGUGCCAGCAGCCGCGGUAACACGUAGGGCGCAAGCGUUGUCCGGAAUCAUUGGGCGUAAAGAGCUCGUAGGCGGUCUGUUGCGUCCGCUGUGAAAACUCGGGGCUUAACCCCGAGCUUGCAGUGGAUACGGGCAGACUAGAGGUAGGUAGGGGAGAAUGGAAUUCCCGGUGUAGCGGUGAAAUGCGCAGAUAUCGGGAGGAACACCGGUGGCGAAGGCGGUUCUCUGGGCCUUACCUGACGCUGAGGAGCGAAAGCGUGGGGAGCGAACAGGAUUAGAUACCCUGGUAGUCCACGCCGUAAACGUUGGGCGCUAGGUGUGGGGUCCUUCCACGGAUUCCGUGCCGCAGCUAACGCAUUAAGCGCCCCGCCUGGGGAGUACGGCCGCAAGGCUAAA